This 331-nucleotide ribosomal RNA is filed under the name Meloidogyne javanica E11. RNAcentral describes it as "SSU rRNA". It matches the Rfam family "Eukaryotic small subunit ribosomal RNA", at positions 1308 to 1664 of the family's 1831-position model. The record is from RNAcentral. Lineage: Eukaryota; Metazoa; Nematoda; Chromadorea; Rhabditida; Meloidogynidae.
GAUUUGUCUGGUUUAUUCCGAUAACGAGCGAGACUCUAACCUACUAAAUAGUUGGUACAUACUCUUAGUGUAUACAGCUUCUUAGAGGGAUUUGCGGCGUUCAGCCGAAAGAAAUUGAGCAAUAACAGGUCUGUGAUGCCCUUAGAUGUCCGGGGCUGCACGCGCGCUACACUGGCAAAAUCAACGUGCUUGUCCUACCCUGAAAGGGGCGGGUAAACCAUUGAAAAUUUGCCGUGAUUGGGAUCGGAAAUUGCAAUUAUUUUCCGUGAACGAGGAAUUCCAAGUAAGUGCGAGUCAUCAGCUCGCGUUGAUUACGUCCCUGCCCUUUGUA